CACAAAAUAAAGAGGGAAAAAAAAAGGGAAAAAAAAGCUGCCCAACUACUCUGCCAGCAAGAUAUAGGAUUCAACCACAAGAUCACUCCUUGAUCCUGUAAAAACACACCAAAAAUAAAAUACUCAGAAUAAUGAGUGACUGCUACAUGGAAAUUCAAGCAAAAAUUAUUGAUGCAAAGAUCCAAGAAAAACCCUUUUCUCAAUCUUAGUUCAUGCCUCAAGAGGAUGGAAAGAAACACCUUGGAGCAACCAAAUCUACCGUUUUAGUUCACUUGCUAAAGAGCUCAACCAUAAGAUGACCAAUUAAAACAGACUAAAGAUUUAAAUCAGGAAGCCACCAAAACAGAAGGGAAAAACUUGAAUAAUCCUCACAAGUAGAUAAUUAUGCACUAUAUUCGUACUUCUCUCUGUGGCAUGAACUUGCCCUGUCUUCAUGUCCAAAGGCAACUGUAAACACAAGAUCCAUCUAGGAACAGAUAUUGCGACUACUAUAAACAACUAACACAGAUUUAAAGAAACAAAAAAUCAGGAGCAGCAAAAACAAUCAAAUUGAGAAAACCGAAAAACUCAAAUCUAGGAAUCUACCAAGAAACAAUCCUACAACACAGAAGUAAAAGCUAAUGUGGGAAUUUUUCUAAGGUUCCACUAAUACAAAACACAAAAUUGUAAGGCAGAUUUGUACAGAAGCAAAUAAUCACUCCCCUUAUGCAUAAUAGUGCACAUAAAUCUUGAAGAUUGACAAAAUUACAGAUUAUUGCAACCAGUUAUCACGUUCUAAAUAGCUCAAUAGGCAUAAACCAACACACAAUUUUUAUAUAGACUAUCUUAGCCCAAUCAAUCCUUCCAUAGGGUAAAGUGAGUACAAAUAAAGUUAAUUGACCAUUUUCC
Molecule: unclassified non-coding RNA, 888 nt
Filed under: Hevea brasiliensis (rubber tree)
Lineage: Eukaryota; Viridiplantae; Streptophyta; Magnoliopsida; Malpighiales; Euphorbiaceae
Source: RNAcentral